Molecule: ribosomal RNA, 253 nt
Filed under: uncultured bacterium
Lineage: Bacteria
Description: partial 16S ribosomal RNA
Rfam family: Bacterial small subunit ribosomal RNA
Source: RNAcentral
UACGAAAGGUGCAAGCGUUACUCGGAAUCACUGGGCGUAAAGCGCACGUAGGCGGACUCGCAGGUCAGUUGUGAAAUACCUGGGCUCAACCCGGGAACUGCAGCUGAAACCGCUUGUCUUGAAUACCUGAGAGGGUGGGGGAAUACCUGGUGGAGAAGUGAAAUUCGUAGAGAUCAGGUGGAACACCGGAGGCGAAGGCGCCUGCCUGGCAGUGUAUUGACGCUGAGGUGCGAAAGUGCGGGGAGCAAACAGG